RNAcentral lists this ribosomal RNA (253 nucleotides) under uncultured bacterium. RNAcentral describes it as "partial 16S ribosomal RNA". It matches the Rfam family "Bacterial small subunit ribosomal RNA", at positions 524 to 776 of the family's 1533-position model. The record is from RNAcentral.
UACGAAGGGGGCUAGUGUUGCUCGGAAUCACUGGGCGUAAAGGGUGCGUAGGCGGGGCUUUAAGUCAGGGGUGAAAUCCUGGAGCUCAACUCCAGAACUGCCUUUGAUACUGAAGAUCUUGAGUUCGGGAGAGGUGAGUGGAACUGCGAGUGUAGAGGUGAAAUUCGUAGAUAUUCGCAAGAACACCAGUGGCGAAGGCGGCUCACUGGCCCGAUACUGACGCUGAGGCACGAAAGCGUGGGGAGCAAACAGG